GAUUGCAAUCUGAAUCGGAGGAAAAGAAACUAACAAGGAUUCCCCUAGUAGCGGCGAGCGAAGCGGGAAGAGCUCAAAUUUAUAAUCUGGCACCUUCGGUGUCCGAGUUGUAAUCUCUAGAAAUGUUUUCCGCGUUGGACCGCACACAAGUCUGUUGGAAUACAGCGGCAUAGUGGUGAGACCCCCGUAUAUGGUGCGGACGCCCAGCGCUUUGUGAUACAUUUUCGAAGAGUCGAGUUGUUUGGGAAUGCAGCUCAAAUUGGGUGGUAAAUUCCAUCUAAAGCUAAAUAUUGGCGAGAGACCGAUAGCGAACAAGUACCGUGAGGGAAAGAUGAAAAGCACUUUGGAAAGAGAGUUAACAGUACGUGAAAUUGUUGGAAGGGAAACGCUUGAAGUCAGACUUGCUUGCCGAGCAAUCGGUUUGCAGGCCAGCAUCAGUUUUCCGGGAUGGAUAAUGGUAGAGAGAAGGUAGCAGUUUCGGCUGUGUUAUAGCUCUCUGCUGGAUACAUCUUGGGGGACUGAGGAACGCAGUGUGCCUUUUGGCGGGGGUUUCGACCUCUUCACACUUAGGAUGCUGGUGGAAUGGCUUUAAACGACCCGUCUUGCACCCCCGGACCAA
RNAcentral lists this ribosomal RNA (619 nucleotides) under Rhodotorula mucilaginosa. RNAcentral describes it as "partial large subunit ribosomal RNA". It matches the Rfam family "Eukaryotic large subunit ribosomal RNA", at positions 36 to 669 of the family's 3401-position model. The record is from RNAcentral. Lineage: Eukaryota; Fungi; Basidiomycota; Microbotryomycetes; Sporidiobolales; Sporidiobolaceae.